Non-coding RNA from Vicugna pacos (alpaca), 560 nucleotides. Lineage: Eukaryota; Metazoa; Chordata; Mammalia; Artiodactyla; Camelidae. The record is from RefSeq and is a predicted model, not a curated record.
AACGCAAAGCAAAAGCGAGCACUCAGGGAGCGGCAGCAGUGGGAAGCUGUUCCCUCCCGGCUCAGCUUAUCCAGCGCCAGGUGACGGUGCAGAGGAGCUGGGCUGGCAUGUGCGGCCCAGGGCUUGGCCUUCUUCCGACUCUCACCAGGGAUCUGCUACUUGCCCCCCAGGUGCUGCCCCCACACCUUCCCGACAUGGUCCAGGCAAAAGAAAGGCUCUCUGAGCAGCAUGUCCGCCUGGGGACGUCCGGGACAGCAGCACAGAAGCAGGGCCUCCACUGACGACUCGAAUGAGAUGCAAACACAUGGACAAGUCUUAAGGACAAAGGGUUCCUGCUCCUACGAACGAUGACCACCGCAGGCUACGCUCAGUGCCGUCCCACCCUGCGGGACACACUGUACAGGCUGGGUCUCCGCUCCUGCUCUCUCCUCUGAUCGCUCUCCCACCACACUGCCUCUUAGAGUCUCAGCCAACCUGUGAGGCCCAGUGCCAAUGCGUGAUCUGUGAAGCUCUCUCAGAGCCACCGCCCCCAGUCUGAAUUAACCAAUAUCUUCCCUACA